GGUUAGUCUAGUGGUUAAGGCUUUGGAUCGCCAAUCCGAAGACGACGGGUUCGAUUCCCGUUCCA
Molecule: non-coding RNA, 65 nt
Organism: Aedes albopictus (Asian tiger mosquito)
Lineage: Eukaryota; Metazoa; Arthropoda; Insecta; Diptera; Culicidae
Source: Rfam